GACGGACGCUGGCGGCGUGCUUAACACAUGCAAGUCGAGCGGUAAGGCUCCUUCGGGAGUACACGAGCGGCGAACGGGUGCGUAACACGUGAGUAAUCUGCCCUUCACUUCGGGAUAACCACCGGAAACGGUGGCUAAUACCGAAUACGACCAGUCUUCGCAUGAGGUGCUGGUGGAAAGUCUUUUCGGUGAAGGAUGUGCUCGCGGCCUAUCAGCUUGUUGGUGGGGUAAUGGCCUACCAAGGCUUCGACGGGUAGCCGGCCUGAGAGGGUGACCGGCCAGACUGGGACUGAGACACGGCCCAGACUCCUACGGGAGGCAGCAGUGGGGAAUAUUGGACAAUGGGCGAAAGCCUGAUCCAGCAACGCCGCGUGAGGGAUGACGGCCUUCGGGUUGUAAACCUCGUUCAGUACCGACGAAGCGCCCUGUCGGGUGGUGACGGUAGGUACAGAAGAAGGACCGGCCAACUACGUG
Molecule: ribosomal RNA, 474 nt
Filed under: uncultured bacterium
Lineage: Bacteria
Description: partial 16S ribosomal RNA
Rfam family: Bacterial small subunit ribosomal RNA
Source: RNAcentral